RNAcentral lists this long non-coding RNA (1594 nucleotides) under Rosa chinensis. RNAcentral describes it as "sRNA RchiOBHm_Chr7g0230841". The record is from RNAcentral. Lineage: Eukaryota; Viridiplantae; Streptophyta; Magnoliopsida; Rosales; Rosaceae.
GACGUAGUCUCCCGCUCAUGCGGAGGCGAACCACUAUACAUCUUGUGUCAAUCUCUCUCUCUCUCUCUCUCUCUUACUUAUCGUUAAUUAGAUCCCCAACGGAUCCAAAGCAUUAACAUUGGCGCCGUCUGUGGGAAGCCAACACAAAGGCUUCGUCACCUACCACGAACUUUGACCCGAAAAUGUCGAGUCGACGCUCAUUUAACAUCAAAUUGGGGCCGGUCAACGCCCGGCGGAGCCGGUCAACGCCCGGCGGAGUCGGUCAACGCCCGGCGGGGUCGGUCAACGCCCAUCAAGGCUUGAUCAACUUUUGGUCAACGCCCAACUCAAAAAAGGUCAACGCUAAACUAUUCACUUGGUCAACGCCAACUACAAAAAAAAAAAAAAAAAAAAAAAAUUUUGGUGCAAAUCUUCUCUGGACACCCAGAGGUCUACUUUGGACACUAGCAUUCUUCAGUCACCAUCAGCACCUCCGUUGGACUGUACACCGCCAGACUUCAGUUCCGCCGAACUCAUGUUCCGCUGAACUUCAGCUUCGGCUGGACACCAACGCUUCGCUGAACUUCGAGCUCUCCGCUCCGCCAGUCAACACUGCUAGCUAGCUCCUUCACUGCUUUGCUCAACUGCUCCGCUAGAGCACCAGCAGCGGCACUUUUUCCGCUAGCCAACCUCCGAUCUGCUAGCGAGCCAAGCCUCCGCCAAACAUCCGCUAGCAUAUUCCUCCGCUAGAGCCUACCAGCAAGCACGACCACCAAUCUUUUAAACUUCACCGGCAAGGCUUUCUCCGCCAAAACUUCACCGCUGACCAAAGCUUCACGGAGAAAGCACCGCUACCAAGCCAAGCCUCAUUUGGACACCAAGAGUACCGCCGACCGGCUCCGCUGGUCACAGUCGCUGCUCAACCACUGCUGGACGUCCUCCUCUGGACAGCUCCGCCCAACUCCGAGGCUCCGCUCCAUCGGACUAUCUCCGCUAGCUAAGAGCCUUUCCGCUUACCAAAGCCUAGCGGCCACUACCCGCCAGCGCUAGCAUCAAGCUCCAUCGGUGCGCUGCAAUCACAGCCACCACCAUAGCUUACCACACCCAGAAAACUACUCUGGGCACCAUGGUAACUCCACCAUUACCGCUGAACAAUGAUCUGUUCAUCACCACCGCCGACCAAAGCUGCCACCGCUAGCCAACCUCUGCCGGAAAAUCUUCCGCCACACUAUACUCCGCUGAACCCCAGCUCCUCAGUGAUGGCAGCAGUGUUGCAAGUCGGCGAUCAUCAACAAUAUAUCAUCGAGCAAAGUUCCAGCCGACUCUCCGCCGAGCUGCAGCACCGCUACGAGACAUUAGCGGUAAAACCUCCGCCAGCCAGUCGCCGCUGGCCAAAUCAUCCGCUGGCCAACCCCAGCCACCGAUUGAGCUCCGCUGACCGCUAGCCCUCCACCGCUGAAAAUUCAUCCACUGGCCAAAGGGCUCUGCUCCGCUGAUAUGCACCUCUGGCCAAAGCAAGCCUCUGCUACCGCCUGCCAGGGAUCAGCUGCCCAAGCUCCGCCACCCAACCUCCGCUCCCGGUCUCCUCACCUAAACGUUGAUCAGCGCCUGGAGC